RNAcentral lists this ribosomal RNA (497 nucleotides) under uncultured bacterium. RNAcentral describes it as "partial 16S ribosomal RNA". It matches the Rfam family "Bacterial small subunit ribosomal RNA", at positions 28 to 507 of the family's 1533-position model. The record is from RNAcentral.
GAUGAACGCUGGCGGCGUGCCUAACACAUGCAAGUCGAACGAACAGACGAGGAUCUUGCUCCUCGGACGUUAGCGGAGGGCGGGUGAGUAACGCGUGGAUAACCUACCUGUAAGUCUGGUAUCUUUUCGAGACAGCGGAGAUUAUACCAGAGGAGCUAUUGCAGCACAGGGGUGGAUGGUGAGAUACGGCGGUGGGGGAACGUCUAGAGGCAUACGAGCCGCAUGGGCUGGUUGGGACGGUAACGGCCUACCAAGGCAACUAUGCGUAGGCGACCUAAGAGGGGGGUAGGCCACACUGGAAGUGAGACACGGUCAAGACUCCUACGGGAGGCCGCAGUCUGGAAUCUUCCGCAAUGGGCGAGAGCUUUACGGAGCAACGCCGCGUGAGUGAUGACGGUCCUCGGUUCGUAAAACUCUGUUAUUGGGGAAGAACAAAUGUGUAAUUAGCUAUGCACGUCUUGACGGUACCUAAUCAGAAAGCACCGGCUAACUACGUG